AGUGAACGCUGGCGGUAGGCCUAACACAUGCAAGUCGAACGGCAGCACAGUAAGAGCUUGCUCUUACGGGUGGCGAGUGGCGGACGGGUGAGGAAUACAUCGGAAUCUACUUUUUCGUGGGGGAUAACGUAGGGAAACUUACGCUAAUACAGCAUACGACCUACGGGUGAAAGCAGGGGAUCUUCGGACCUUGCGCGAUUGAAUGAGCCGAUGUCGGAUUAGCUAGUUGGCGGGGUAAAGGCCCACCAAGGCGACGAUCCGUAGCUGGUCUGAGAGGAUGAUCAGCCACACUGGAACAGAGGCACGUUCGAGACUCCGACGGUAGGCAGCAGUGGGGAAUAUUGGACAAGGGGCGCGAGCCUGAUCCAGCCAUACCGCGUAGGUGAAGAAGGCCUUCGGGUUGUAAAGCCCUUUUGUUGGGAAAGAAAAGCAGCAGGUUAAUACCCCGCUGUUCUGACGGUACCCAAAGAAUAAGCACCGGCUAACUUCGUG
Molecule: ribosomal RNA, 492 nt
Filed under: uncultured bacterium
Lineage: Bacteria
Description: partial 16S ribosomal RNA
Rfam family: Bacterial small subunit ribosomal RNA
Source: RNAcentral